GACGAACGCUGGCGGCGUGCUUAACACAUGCAAGUCGAACGGAAAGGCCUCUUUCGGGGGGUACUCGAGUGGCGAACGGGUGAGUAACACGUGAGUAACCUGCCCUUGACUUUGGGAUAACUUCAGGAAACUGGGGCUAAUACCGGAUAGGAGCUCCUGCUGCAUGGUGGGGGUUGGAAAGUUUCGGCGGUUGGGGAUGGACUCGCGGCUUAUCAGCUUGUUGGUGGGUAGUGGCUUACCAAGGCUUUGACGGGUAGCCGGCCUGAGAGGGUGACCGGCCACAUUGGGACUGAGAUACGGCCCAGACUCCUACGGGAGGCAGCAGUGGGGAAUAUUGCACAAUGGGUGGAAGCCUGAUGCAGCAACGCCGUGUGCGGGAUGACGGCCUUCGGGUUGUAAACCGCUUUCGCUCAUGACGAAGCUUUGUGUGACGGGAGUGGGGAAAGAAGCACCGGCUAACUACGU
Molecule: ribosomal RNA, 465 nt
Filed under: uncultured bacterium
Lineage: Bacteria
Description: partial 16S ribosomal RNA
Rfam family: Bacterial small subunit ribosomal RNA
Source: RNAcentral